AUUGAACGCUGGCGGCAGGCUUAACACAUGCAAGUCGAGCGGAGCGGCGGACGGGUGAGUAAUGCCUAGGAAUCUACCUGGUAGUGGGGGAUAACGUCCGGAAACGGGCGCUAAUAACGCAUACUAGCAGAUGAGCCUAGGUCGGAUUAGCUAGUUGGUGGGGUAAAGUCCGACCACGGCGACGAUUCGUAACUUGUGUGAGAUGAGGAUCAGGCACAGUGGAACUGAGACACGGGCCAGACUCCACCGGUAGGCAGCAGUGGGGAAUAUUGGACAAUGGGCGAAAGGCUAGUCCAGCCAUGCCGCGUGUGUGAAGAAGGUCAUCGGAUUUUAAAGCACUUUAAGUUGGUAGGCGUUACCAACAGAAUAAGCACCGGCUAACUUCGUGCCAGCAGCCGCGGUAAUAC
Molecule: ribosomal RNA, 407 nt
Filed under: uncultured bacterium
Lineage: Bacteria
Description: partial 16S ribosomal RNA
Rfam family: Bacterial small subunit ribosomal RNA
Source: RNAcentral